RNAcentral lists this ribosomal RNA (453 nucleotides) under uncultured bacterium. Its description in RNAcentral is "partial 16S ribosomal RNA". It matches the Rfam family "Bacterial small subunit ribosomal RNA", at positions 28 to 523 of the family's 1533-position model. The record is from RNAcentral.
GAUGAACGCUGGCGGUAUGCUUAACACAUGCAAGUCGAACGAAGAUUUUUAAUCUUAGUGGCGGACGGGUGAGUAACACGUGAGGAUCUGCCCUUAGGAAGAGGAUAACAGCUGGAAACGGUUGCUAAUACUCUAUACGCCGAAAGGUAAAAGGAAAUAUCCACCUUAGGAAGAGCUCGCGUCUGAUUAGCUUGUUGGUGAGGUAAUGGCUCACCAAGGCGACGAUCAGUAGCUGGUUUGAGAGGGCGACCAGCCACACUGGGACUGAGACACGGCCCAGACUCCUACGGGAGGCAGCAGUGGGGAAUUUUCCGCAAUGGGGGAAAGCCUGACGGAGCAAUACCGCGUGAGGGAUGAAAGCCUGUGGGUUGUAAACCUCUUUUCUCAAGGAAGAAAUUUUGACGGUACUUGAGGAAUAAGCAUCGGCUAACUCUGUGCCAGCCGCCGCCGUAA